CCCUCUCGAAGAACGAUUAAUCUCCAAUCGACUGCUACUGUCAUUGGAGGCUUUAAAGAAUCCACAUCAUCUCAAGUGCCGACUGUAUGGGAGGACGAGCUUCACAACGUGGUUCAUAUGGGCUUCAACUCGAGCACUCCUCCUAAUAGCCAAGAUUUAAGUGGUUCUCUACCACCAGGGCAUAUGAAAGCUGAACCCUGAUUUUUUUUUAAAAUUUUAAUUUAUGUGUAUUUAAUAAUUUGGUCCUUCUUUUUAUCCUUUGCUGAAAGACCCAUCUUCCGGGGGCCUGACAGCAAUAUUAGAGUUCACCUACUCCUCUAUCCAGAAGCUUAUCCCCUGUCUGGAAAUUCAAGAAGAUACAAAGCCUAGAUAGCAAUAGAAAAAUCAUGACCUUUGUGCAGUUACGAUCCAAUUAUCUAUCGUAAGGCGGGCCCACGCUCGAGUUCGGGCUUAUUUUCGAGUGCGAAUUUUAUGUAUUUUGAGUGAUUAGAGGAAAACAAGAUCAGGGUUUGUGUUUCAUUCUUGAAUUAUGAUUGUGGUAUGAGCUAUUAUUCUUGUUCAGUCUAUUCCUUUUUUCUUAGCUUGUAAAUAUUAUUAUUGUAUUGAAAGAUUAGUAGUAGCUUGUAAUUUGGGGAGGCUCAUAUUUGCUAGUAAUUUUUAGUUCUUUCAAAAA
Erythranthe guttata (spotted monkey flower) is the source of this 673-nucleotide non-coding RNA. NCBI's taxonomy places the organism in Eukaryota, Viridiplantae, Streptophyta, Magnoliopsida, Lamiales, Phrymaceae. The record is from RefSeq and is a predicted model, not a curated record.